GGCGGCGUGCUUAACACAUGCAAGUCGAACGAUGAACCGGCUUCGGCCGGGGAUUAGUGGCGAACGGGUGAGUAACACGUGGGCAAUCUGCCCUGCACUCUGGGACAAGCCCUGGAAACGGGGUCUAAUACCGGAUAUGACACGCUCCCGCAUGGGAUGCGUGUGGAAAGCUCCGGCGGUGCAGGAUGAGCCCGCGGCCUAUCAGCUUGUUGGUGGGGUGAUGGCCUACCAAGGCGACGACGGGUAGCCGGCCUGAGAGGGCGACCGGCCACACUGGGACUGAGACACGGCCCAGACUCCUACGGGAGGCAGCAGUGGGGAAUAUUGCACAAUGGGCGAAAGCCUGAUGCAGCGACGCCGCGUGAGGGAUGACGGCCUUCGGGUUGUAAACCUCUUUCAGCAGGGAAGAAGCGAGAGUGACGGUACCUGCAGAAGAAGCGCCGGCUAACUACGUGCCAGCAGCCGCGGUAAUACGUAGGGCGCAAGCGUUGUCCGGAAUUAUUGGGCGUAAAGAGCUCGUAGGCGGCUUGUCGCGUCGGAUGUGAAAGCCCGGGGCUUAACCCCGGGUCUGCAUUCGAUACGGGCAGGCUAGAGUUCGGUAGGGGAGAUCGGAAUUCCUGGUGUAGCGGUGAAAUGCGCAGAUAUCAGGAGGAACACCGGUGGCGAAGGCGGAUCUCUGGGCCGAUACUGACGCUGAGGAGCGAAAGCGUGGGGAGCGAACAGGAUUAGAUACCCUGGUAGUCCACGCCGUAAACGUUGGGAACUAGGUGUGGGCGACAUUCCACGUCGUCCGUGCCGCAGCUAACGCAUUAAUUGCCCCGCCUGGGGAGUACGGCCGC
Molecule: ribosomal RNA, 839 nt
Filed under: Streptomyces sp. IM-7292
Lineage: Bacteria; Bacillati; Actinomycetota; Actinomycetes; Kitasatosporales; Streptomycetaceae
Description: bacterial SSU rRNA
Rfam family: Bacterial small subunit ribosomal RNA
Source: RNAcentral